UCCUACGGGAGGCAGCAGUGGGGAAUAUUGCACAAUGGGGGAAACCCUGAUGCAGCGACGCCGCGUGAGUGAAGAAGUAUUUCGGUAUGUAAAGCUCUAUCAGCAGGAAAGAAAAUGACGGUACCUGACUAAGAAGCCCCGGCUAACUACGUGCCAGCAGCCGCGGUAAU
Molecule: ribosomal RNA, 170 nt
Filed under: uncultured bacterium
Lineage: Bacteria
Description: partial 16S ribosomal RNA
Rfam family: Bacterial small subunit ribosomal RNA
Source: RNAcentral